GUCGAGCGGAAAGGCCCUUCGGGGUACUCGAGCGGCGAACGGGUGAGUAACACGUGAGCAACCUGCCCCAGGCUUUGGGAUAACCCCGGGAAACCGGGGCUAAUACCGAAUAUGACCUCCGACCGCAUGGUUGGUGGUGGAAAGUUUUUCGGCUUGGGAUGGGCUCGCGGCCUAUCAGCUUGUUGGUGGGGUGAUGGCCUACCAAGGCGACGACGGGUAGCCGGCCUGAGAGGGCGACCGGCCACACUGGGACUGAGACACGGCCCAGACUCCUACGGGAGGCAGCAGUGGGGAAUAUUGCACAAUGGGCGGAAGCCUGAUGCAGCGACGCCGCGUGAGGGAUGACGGCCUUCGGGUUGUAAACCUCUUUCAGCAGGGACGAAGCGUAAGUGACGGUACCUGCAGAAGAAGCGCCGGCCAACUACGUGCCAGCAGCCGCGGUAAGACGUAGGGCGCGAGCGUUGUCCGGAUUUAUUGGGCGUAAAGAGCUCGUAGGCGGCUUGUCGCGUCGACCGUGAAAACCUGGGGCUCAACCCCAGGCCUGCGGUCGAUACGGGCAGGCUAGAGUUCGGUAGGGGAGACUGGAAUUCCUGGUGUAGCGGUGAAAUGCGCAGAUAUCAGGAGGAACACCGGUGGCGAAGGCGGGUCUCUGGGCCGAUACUGACGCUGA
This 670-nucleotide ribosomal RNA is filed under the name Micromonospora sp. 188. Its description in RNAcentral is "bacterial SSU rRNA". It matches the Rfam family "Bacterial small subunit ribosomal RNA", at positions 61 to 749 of the family's 1533-position model. The record is from RNAcentral. Lineage: Bacteria; Bacillati; Actinomycetota; Actinomycetes; Micromonosporales; Micromonosporaceae.